Molecule: ribosomal RNA, 2882 nt
Rfam family: Bacterial large subunit ribosomal RNA
UUAAGUUAAAAUUUUAAGGGCUUAUAACGGAUCCCUUGGUAUCCAGAAGCGAUGAAGGACGUUACAACCAACGAAAUUUUUCGGGAAGCUGGCAGUAAGCAUUGAUCCGGAAUGUCUCCGAAUGAGGCAACUCAAUAAUUUCUUACUGAAUCUAUAAGUAAGUUAAGGCGAACCUUGGGAACUGAAACAUCUUAGUACCAAGAGGAAAAGAAAGUAAAAACGAUUUCCGUAGUAGUGGCGAACGAAAUGGAAAAAGCCUAAACCUAUUUAAAAAAUAGGGGUCGUGGGGUAAAACAAUUAAAAGCUUAGCUUUAUUAGACUAAAUAGUUUGAAUACUAUACCAUAGAAAGUAAAAGUCUUGUAGUCGAAAAUAAAGCAGCACUAGUUUUAUACCCGAGUAAUAUGGAACACGAGGAAUUCCGUAUGAAUCUGCGAGGACCAUCUCGUAAGGCUAAAUAUUACUGGAUAUCCGAUAGUGAAUUAGUACCGUGAGGGAAAGGUGAAAAGAAUCCCGGAAGGGAAGUGAAAAGAACGUGAAAUUAUAAGCUUACAAACAGAAGUAGAACGACUUAGCGUUUGUCUUCGUGCCUGUUGAAGAAUGUUCCAACGAGUUAUAAUUAGUGGCAGGUUAAAACAUUCUAUGUUGGAGCCAAAGUGAAAGCGAGCUUGAAUAGAGCGUUAGUCUCUAAUUAUAGACCCGAACCCGCUUGAUCUAACCAUGGCCAGGAUGAAAGUUAGGUAACACUAAGUGGAGGUCCGAACCGACUAAUGUUGCAAAAUUAGCGGAUGAGUUGUGGUUAGCGGUGAAAUGCCAAUCGAAAGCGGAGCUAGCUGGUUCUCCCCGAAAUGUAUUUAGGUGCAGCGAUUAACUUUAAUUAUUGGGGUAAAGCACUGUUUUAAUGAGGGCUCGUAACACAGUACCAAAUUGAGGCAAACUCUGAAUACGAUAUGGAUAGUUAAUUAGUAAGACUACGAGGGAUAAGCUUCGUAGUCAAGAGGGAAAGAGCCCAGAUCACCAGUUAAGGCCCCUAAAUAAUUACUAAGUGAUAAAGGAAGUGAAAAUACUUAAACAACCAGGAGGUUCGCUUAGAAGCAGCAAUCCUUUAAAAAGUGCGUAAUAGCUUACUGGUCUAGUAAUUUUGCGCCGAAAAUUUACGGGACUCAAGUAAUUUGCCGAAACUGUGAGACAUAUUUAUUAUGUCGGUAGGGGAGCGUUCCAUUGUUGAUUGAAGUAUUAACGAAAGUGAAUAUGGACAGUAUGGAAGUGAGAAUGUUGGAUUGAGUAACGAAAACAUUGGUGAGAAUCCAAUGCUCCGAAAUUCUAAGGUUUCCUUCGCAAGGUUCGUCCACGAAGGGUUAGUCAGGGCCUAAGGCGAGGCUAUUUGCGUAGUCGAUGGAUAAUAGGUUAAUAUUCCUAUACUAAUUUUUAUUUGUAUUGAGGGACGAAGAAGGCUAAAUUAGCCGAGUUGUGGUAUGCUCGGUUUAAGUUAUCAAGGCGUAGAUAAAUAGAAUUAAAAACUAUUUAGAGCUAAGAAAUUAAUACAAAAUUAGUAAUAAUUAAAGUAAUUGAUGUCAUACUUCCAAGAAAAGCUCAUAAUACGUUAAGUAAAAAUUACCUGUACCGUAAACCGACACAGGUAGAAUGGUAGAGAAUACCAAGGAGCGCGAGAUAAUUCUCUUUAAGGAACUCGGCAAAAUAACUCUGUAACUUCGGAAUAAAGAGUACCUAUUAGGUUUCAAUAACAAGUUCCAAGCAACUGUUUAUCAAAAACACAGGUCUCCGCAAAGUUGUAAAACGACGUAUGGGGGCUGACGCCUGCCCAGUGCCAGAAAGUUAAGGAAGUUGGUUAUUUUAAAAAAAUUUUUUAAAAAAAGCUAACAACUGAAGCCCUGGUGAACGGCGGCCGUAACUAUAACGGUCCUAAGGUAGCGAAAUUCCUUGUUGGGUAAGUUCCAACCUGCACGAAUGGCGUAAUGACUUGGAAGCUGUCUCAAAGAGAAACUCGGUGAAAUAGAAAUGUCUGUGAAGAUGCGGACUACCCGCGCCUGGACAGUAAGACCCUAUGAAGCUUUACUGUAUUUUGACAUUGAAAUUUUCUUUUAUUUGCGCAGAAUAGGUGGGAAACGUUGAGUUUAUUUUUUCGGAAAUAAAGGAGUUAACAGUGAGAUACCACUCUAAUAAAAUAAAGUUUCUAAUUUCAUCUCGUAAUCCGAUUGAAAAACAGUGUCAAAAAGACAGUUUGACUGGGGCGGUCGCCUGCUAAAAAGUAACGCAGGCGUACAAAGGUUUCCUCAAAUCGUUUAGAAAGCGAUUGAAGAGUGUAAAGGCAUAAGGAAGCUUAACUGUGAGACCUACAAGUCGAACAGAGACGAAAGUCGGUCUUAGUGAUCUGACGUUGCUGUAUGGAAAGGGCGUCACUUAACGGAUAAAAGUUACUCUAGGGAUAACAGGCUAAUCUCCCCAUAGAGUUCCUAUCGACGGGGAGGUUUGGCACCUCGAUGUCGGCUCAUCGCAUCCUGGAGCGGAAGUACGUUCCAAGGGUUGGGCUGUUCGCCCAUUAAAGCGGUACGUGAGCUGGGUUCAGAACGUCGUGAGACAGUUCGGUCCAUAUCCGGCGUGGGCGUUUUAGAGUAUUGAGAGUGACUUUUCUCUAGUACGAGAGGACCGAGAAAAAUAUACCUCUGGUGUACCAGUUAUCGUACCAACGGUAAACGCUGGGUAGCUACGUAUAGUUAGGAUAACCGCUGAAAGCAUCUAAGUGGGAAGCCGUCCUCAAGAUGAGUACUCUUAGGUUACAGCUAGACUAGCUGUUUGAUAGGAAUCCGGUGUAAGUAUAGUAAUGUAUGUAGCCAAGAUUUACUAAUAACCGUUUUUAACUAAU